RNAcentral lists this ribosomal RNA (456 nucleotides) under uncultured Anaerolineaceae bacterium. Its description in RNAcentral is "bacterial SSU rRNA". It matches the Rfam family "Bacterial small subunit ribosomal RNA", at positions 912 to 1382 of the family's 1533-position model. Lineage: Bacteria; Bacillati; Chloroflexota; Anaerolineae; Anaerolineales; Anaerolineaceae. The record is from RNAcentral.
GACGGGGACCCGCACAAGCAGCGGAGCGUGUGGUUUAAUUCGUUGCUACACGAAGAACCUUACCUGGGUUUGACAUAUAGGUUGUAGGGAACUGAAAAGGGACCGACCCUUCGGGGAGCCUAUACAGGUGUUGCAUGGCUGUCGUCAGCUCGUGUCGUGAGAUGUUCGGUUAAGUCCGCUAACGAGCGCAACCCUCGUCGUAUGUUAUAUGUGUCAUACGAGACUGCCGGUAAAAGCCGGAGGAAGGUGAGGAUGAUGUCAAGUCAGCAUGACCUUUAUAUCCAGGGCUACACACACGCUACAAUGGUCUGUACAAUGGGUAGCCAAGCCGCGAGGCGGAGCCAAUCCUGAAAGCAGGCCUCAGUUCAGAUUGCAGUCUGCAACUCGACUGCAUGAAGCCGGAGUUGCUAGUAACCGCAGGUCAGCAAUACUGCGGUGAAUACGUUCCCGGGUCUU